This 253-nucleotide ribosomal RNA is filed under the name uncultured bacterium. RNAcentral's name for it is "partial 16S ribosomal RNA". It matches the Rfam family "Bacterial small subunit ribosomal RNA", at positions 524 to 776 of the family's 1533-position model. The record is from RNAcentral.
UACGUAGGGUGCGAGCGUUGCCCGGAUUUAUUGGGCGUAAAGGGCGCGCAGGCGGCUACGCACGUCCGUUGUGAAAUCGCUCGGCUCAACUGGGCGGGGUCAGCGGAUACGGCGUAGCUGGAGCAAGCUAGGGGGCAAUGGAAUUCCCGGUGUAGUGGUGGAAUGCGUAGAUAUCGAGAGGAACACCUGCGGCGAAGGCGGGUUGCUGGGCUGACACUGACGCUGAGGCGCGAAAGCUAGGGGAGCGAACGGG